Long non-coding RNA from Clupea harengus (Atlantic herring), 2359 nucleotides. Lineage: Eukaryota; Metazoa; Chordata; Actinopteri; Clupeiformes; Clupeidae. The record is from Ensembl.
AUACUGAUCACCUUUAACAGCCAAAAGGACACUGACAAGAAUAGUAUUUAUUUCCCUUUUGUGUCUGAGGGCUGAUUUCUCAGUGGAUGAUCCAUUGAUGUAGACUGGAUUAGUUGUGCUCCGAUGGAGAUGCUGUUGUUCCUGUUCUCUCUUGAUUGGCUGACGUGCAUUGGUUUGAGGAUGGAAAGAAAGGCCGAUGGGCUCCAGGCUGCCUGGCUGUCAUUCCUCGUCUGUCUGGACUCCCUGUCUGGGCUUCCUGUCUGGACUUCCUGUCUGGACUCCCUGUCUGGACUCCCUGUCUGGACUUCCUGUCUGGACUUCCUGUCUGGGCUUCCUGUCUAGACUUCCUGUCUGGACUUCCUGUCUGGACUCCCUGGCUCUGGAAGCCCUACGACCCCCUGGGGGUCACGUGUAGAGUUGUGUACAUUACAUGUAGUUUACUGUGGUUCUGUUCCGCAUCGGGGUCUGAAGUGGGCCCGACCCAGUUCUGAGGUUGUUGGUCUCUGGGACCAAUGGUUCUCGGUUAGUUGGUCUCUGGGACCAGUGGUUCUGAGGUAGUUGGUCUCUGGGACCAGUGGUUCUGAGGUAGUUGGUCUCUGGGACCACCGGUUCUGAGGUAGUUGGUCUAUGGGACCAGUGGUUCUCGGUUAGUUGGUCUCUGGGACCAGUGGUUCUGAGGUAGUUGGUCUAUGGGACCAGUGGUUCUGAGGUAGUUGGUCUCUGGGACCAGUGGUUCUCUCUGGGACCAGUGGUUCUGAGGUAGUUGGUCUCUGGGACCAGCGAUUCUCUCUGGGACCAGUGGUUCUGAGGUAGUUGGUCUCUGGGACCAGCGGUUCUGAGGUAGUUGGUCUCUGGGACCAGUGGUUCUCGGUUAGUUGGUCUCUGGGACCAGUGGUUCUGAGGUAGUUGGUCUCUGGGACCAGCGGUAGGGAAGGCGGUUCUGUUGGCUGGCGCUUGCUGUUCUGUGUUGUAGGGAACGUAGAGGACCCUUUCUCAGAUUGUUUGGAGCGAUCCUUGUUUCCUUCUGAGCCCUGUCUUACUGUCACUGCAAUGCCGUAUUGAGACAAACCUACACACACUACAUACUUCACACACACAUUUUACAGCACCCCACACAUGAGUUUAUAAUGUACAUAGAGAUAUGAAGGGAGAAUCUAACAUAUUUAAUUUAGUCCUUCUCUGUUCUUAAGGAGAAACAUGACUUGCUGUGUGUUCUACUAUCUGUCCAAAGACAGGGGCAGUGUAGGGCAAGAUUUCAGCCCCACGGCUGACAUGCACACUGACGUUGACUUAGGCUGUAGCUUUGGAGACAAACCCCUCUGAGAUCAAUGAUGAUGACAAGCUCAGUCACUGACCCAGUCCCAUGAGAGGUCACUGCAGCCCGGUGACCUCCGAACUUUGACCCUUCACCCUACACCCAGUCUCACACUCUUCUCAUAGGCGUCUCUGCAUGAUGUGCGCUGGACUUUUCCAAACACGGUCUCGGGAAGUUUAAAGGGGUUUUAAGUUUGUUUUCAUUCUUUCAUUAAGAUUUUAAAAAGGGAAAGAAAUACAAUAAAGGAAUCAAAGUAUUCAAUCACUUUUCUACUCCUAUUUUCAAAAAAAGUGAAAUGAAAAAAAAUCUAAACAAAAAGUUGAAUUUGUAAAUACAUCCUGUACAGUCUGGAUCUGUACUCGUAAGUCUGUCCUUGGUGGCAGAGUCUGUCUUGCUUAUAACGCACGCUACCAGUAAAUAAAAAAGGAAAAAACUCUAUUUAGGCUGUAUGGUCCUUGAAAGCAAGUUUUAAACUUCAUCUAUGAUGUAUAUUCCUGUAACAUUGCAUUUUUAUCUGAGGAAUGAUGUUAUUAAAAAAUAUUGCAAAUAAAUUACAUUUCCUAGAGUCCGUUUGUACUUUCUGGCUGUUUUCCUGUACACAUAAAUAUUCACACUCAUAAUGAAAAUGACUUUGGAACAAAUGUGCACCUUCUCUUCUGUGGAUGUGUGAGACCUGUGGCCCACAGCCGUGAGGAUAUCCUUCAUCACCCCCACUCACUCGUGUCAUACUGCUGUAGUGUAAGAUCCUGGGAAGAUCAACACUGAUCAGGGCCAGAUGAAGGCCAGGCCAUAUUAGAAGAUCAACACUGAUCAGGGCCAGAUGAAGGCCAGGCCAUAUUAGAAGAUCAACACUGAUCAGGGCCAGAUGAAGGCCAGGCCAUAUUAGAAGCCUGUCGGUCAUCUGAACCUGAACCUGAGUCCAUCAGAGUCUCUCAUCACAAAGCCAGUAAGGAGCUGCUCUCAUCCAGAAGCACAGGUACUGUAUCGUCAUCUGUAAAAACAAUCAAGGAAAAUGCAUUAACAACAACAAUACAGCAACUUCUU